Molecule: ribosomal RNA, 375 nt
Filed under: uncultured bacterium
Lineage: Bacteria
Description: bacterial SSU rRNA
Rfam family: Bacterial small subunit ribosomal RNA
Source: RNAcentral
UAAAACGUAGGAGGCAAGCGUUAUCCGGAUUUACUGGGCGUAAAGGGCGUGCAGGUGGUGGUGUAAGUGGUGCGUGAAAGCGCUCGGCUCAACCGGGCGAGGCCGUGCCAAACUGCACGACUAGAAACAGGCAGAGGCAAGUGGAAUUCCGGGUGUAGUGGUGAAAUGCGUAGAGAUCCGGAGGAACUCCUGUGGCGAAGGCGACUUGCUGGGCCUGCUUUGACACUCAGACGCGAAAGCAUGGGGAGCGAACGGGAUUAGAAACCCCGGUAGUCCAUGCCGUAAACGAUGUCCACUGGGCGUUUGCCUCGCAAGAGGUGAGUGCCGUAGCUAACGCGCUAAGUGGACCGCCUGGGGAGUACGACCGCAAGGUUA